GGCUCUUCUGGUAAUUUUGUAAAAAAAAAUAACAACAUAUAGCUAUGCUACAUUCUAUUAUACAAUACAACCCACCAAUCAUUUAAUAUACAAUCAACCACCAUAAGAAUACAAACAUUAAAAAUCAAAUUAUUUACAAAAUUUAUCGAGGUUCCAAAUCCAAACUACAAAACAUACAAAAGACUAAAAACUAUAAUUCAUCAUCCUUAUCCUCAUUCUCAGCCUCACCCAUUAUAUUAUUAAUACUUCAUUGAUAUAUCCAUCUAUAAUCAGGUUCCAUCUACACAAUCAAUCACAUUCAAGUAAUUAGUUCAAGUCACAAAAGUUCACAUUUCGAGUACCUUCACUUAAAGAUUUUCAAGUCACUAAUUCACUUCACAAGUUACCAAACUAAACUUAAUUCAAAAUGAAAAGUUCACGUUUCAAGUACCUACACUUAAACAUUUUAAGUCACUAAUUCACCUCUCAAGUGACCACACUUUACUAAAAUCAAAACGCAAAUUAACUUUGCAAGUACCUAAAUUCAACACAAAGUCACUAAUUCAUAAUUCAAGUAACUACACUUAAAUAUUUCAAGUCAUUAAGUCACUUCACAAGUUACCAAACUAAACUAAAUUCAAAAUAAAAAGUUCACAUUUCAAGUACUUCACAUUUCAAGUAUCUACACUUAAACAUUUCAAGUCACCAAUUCACUUCACAAGUUACCAAACUAAACUAAAAUCAAAAUGAAAAGUUCACAUUUUAAGUACGUACACCUUAACAUUUUCAAGUCACUAAGUCACUUCACAAUUUACUAAACUAAACUAAAUUCAAAAUGAAAUGAUCACAUUUCAAGUACCUACCACUAAACUUUUCAAGUCACUAAGUCCCUUCACAAGUUACCAAACUAAAAUAAAUUCAAAAUGAAAAGUUAAAAUUUUAAGUACCUGCACCUAAACAUUUUUAAGUCAUAAGUCAUUUCACAAGUUAUCAAACUAAACUAAAUUCAAAAUGAAAAGUUCACAUUUCAAGUACAUACACUUGAUCAUUUUCAAGUUACUAAGUCACUUCACAAGUUACUAAACUAAACUAAAUUCAAAAUGAAAAGUUCACAUUUCAAGUACAUACACUUGAUCAUUUUCAAGUUACUAAGUCACUUCACAAGUUACUAAACUAAACUUAAUUCAAAAUGAAAAGUUCACAUUUCAAGUACCUACAUCUUAACAUUUUCAAGUCACUAUUUCACUUCUCAAGUAACCACACUUUAGUAAAUUCAAAACACAAGUUCAUCUUUCAAGUACCUAAACUUAAAUAUUUUCAAGUCACUAAUUCACUUCUCAAGUGGUCACAUUUUACUAAAUUCAAAACACAAGUUCACCUUUCAAGUACCUACAUUUAAACAUUUUCAAGUCACUAAUUCACUUCUCAAGUGACCACACUUUAGUAAAUUCAAAACACAAGUUAACCAACACAAGUUCACCUUUCAAGUACCUACACUUAAACAUUUUCAAGUCACUAAUUCACUUCUCAAGUGACCACACUUUAGUAAAUUCAAAACACAAUUUAUCCUUUCAAUUACCUAAACUUAAAUAUUUUCAAGUCACUAUUUCACUUCUUAAGUGACCACAGUUAUUAAAUUCAAAACACAAUUUAACCUUUCAAGUACCUAAACUUAAACAUUUUCGAGUCACUAAUUCAAUUCUCAAGUGACCACACUUUAGUAAAUUCAAAACACAAGUUCAUUUUUCAAGUACCUAAACUUAAACAUUUUCGAGUUACUAAAUCACUUCUCAAGCUACCACACUUUAGUAAAUUCAAAACACAAGUUCACAUUUCAAGUACCUAAACUUAAACAUUUUCAAGUCACUAUUUCAUUUCUCAAGUUACCACACUUUAUUAAAUUGAAAACACAAGUUCAUAUUUCAAAUACCUACACCUAAACAUUUCAAGUCACUAAUUCAACUUUACAAGUGACCAAACUUAAUUAAAUAUAGCCUUAACAUUAAAAAAGUUUCACGCAAAAUGUCACACAUAUUACAUUUAUGGAAUUAUUUUAGAUAGAGAGAUGAAACUUCUACAAACUAAUAUGCAGCACUAAAAAUUAAGGGUAAAAUUUGGGCUUUAACAGUUGGGCAAUGUAAAAAUGUAAAUAUGCAUAGAAUUAAGUUAUCCUAUGUUACGAAUAUCACGAAUUUAAUAUCUAAAAAACAUUGGAUAGGUAGAAGAAAAUGACAAUAGGAAAAUUGCAUUACGAAAAUAAACCUGAGAUGGAUUCAUAGAAUCCAUUAUGUAUUUCAACGCUUUCUGAGUUGUCAACUCUGGGUACGGUGGAAUGAGAAGAACGGAGCAGCGACGCUGGUCAUUGAACGACAGUGAGAUAGUGGCAUGGUGGAGCGAGGGAGAGAAAAGAAAGGGGUACCGACGAUGAGAAAGGCGAAAAGAGGAAGAAGAUGCGGAGGCAGUGGCGAUGCCAUUGGCCGGCCGGCGAUAGCAACGGUGGUCAGAAAGAAGUGGAGAGAGAGAGAGGGGCUGAUGCGAC
This 2518-nucleotide long non-coding RNA is filed under the name Capsicum annuum. RNAcentral's name for it is "long non-coding RNA (CANN_LNC010565)". The record is from RNAcentral. Lineage: Eukaryota; Viridiplantae; Streptophyta; Magnoliopsida; Solanales; Solanaceae.